RNAcentral lists this ribosomal RNA (600 nucleotides) under uncultured bacterium. RNAcentral's name for it is "bacterial SSU rRNA". It matches the Rfam family "Bacterial small subunit ribosomal RNA", at positions 106 to 652 of the family's 1533-position model. The record is from RNAcentral.
GUGAGUAAUGCAUCGGAACUAGCCUGGAAUGGGGGAUAACGUACGAAAGUUACGCUAAUACCGGAUAUUCUGUGAGCAGGAAAGCCAGGGGAUCCGGCAAGAACUUUGGCGUUCCUUGGGGGAAGCCGGGCCGGAUUGGUCCGGGAUUAAGCUUAAGUUGGGUGGGGGUUAAAGGGGCUUAACCAAGGGGGGAAGGAAUNCCGGUAAGCGGGGGUUCUUGGAGAAGGGAUUGGAUUCCGGCCAACAACUUGGGGAACUUGAGACACGGCCAGACUCCUACGGGAGGCAGCAGUGGGGAAUUUUGGACAAUGGGCGGAAGCCUGAUCCAGCCAUGCCGCGUGAGUGAAGAAGGCCUUCGGGUUGUAAAGCUCUUUCGGUGGGGAAGAAAUUGCACGGGCUAAUACCCUGUGUAGAUGACGGUACCCGANUAAGAAGCACCGGUAACUACGUGCCAUGCAAGCCGCGGUAANUACGGUAGGGUGCGAGCGUAAUCGGAAUUUACUGGGGCGUAAAGCNUGCAGCAGGCGGGAUAGGGCCAGUCAGAUGUCGAAAGGCCCCAUGGGCUCCAACACUGGGGAACUGGGCUUCCGAAAACUUGGC